AUUGAACGCUGGCGGCAUGCUUUACACAUGCAAGUCGAACGGUAACAGGCCGCAAGGUGCUGACGAGUGGCGAACGGGUGAGUAAUGCAUCGGAACGUGCCCAGUCAUGGGGGAUAACUACUCGAAAGAGUAGCUAAUACCGCAUACGAUCUAUGGAUGAAAGCGGGGGACCGUAAGGCCUCGCGCGAUUGGAGCGGCCGAUGUCAGAUUAGGUAGUUGGUGGGGUAAAGGCUCACCAAGCCAACGAUCUGUAGCUGGUCUGAGAGGACGACCAGCCACACUGGGACUGAGACACGGCCCAGACUCCUACGGGAGGCAGCAGUGGGGAAUUUUGGACAAUGGGCGCAAGCCUGAUCCAGCAAUGCCGCGUGCAGGAAGAAGGCCUUCGGGUUGUAAACUGCUUUUGUACGGAACGAAACGGCUCUGGUUAAUACCCGGGGCUAAUGACGGUACCGUAAGAAUAAGCACCGGCUAACUACGUG
This 482-nucleotide ribosomal RNA is filed under the name uncultured bacterium. Its description in RNAcentral is "partial 16S ribosomal RNA". It matches the Rfam family "Bacterial small subunit ribosomal RNA", at positions 30 to 507 of the family's 1533-position model. The record is from RNAcentral.